RNAcentral lists this long non-coding RNA (1444 nucleotides) under Homo sapiens (human). RNAcentral's name for it is "HSALNT0358315". The record is from RNAcentral. Lineage: Eukaryota; Metazoa; Chordata; Mammalia; Primates; Hominidae.
CACCUAUACAUGAGAACAUACAAUAUUUGGUUUUCCAUUCCAUCUCAGAGGCCUUCAAGCCCCCAGGCCUGGUUCCUACUCUAUCAACUGCUCUCUGUCUCCAAAAGACUGUCCUUGCUAAUGUCACCAAGGACCUCUAUGAGCCAAAUUUAGGACUUUUCAGCCUUCAUUUGACUCCCAGUCCCUUCAAUAUUGAAGGCUGUUGACUACCCCUUCAUUUGGAAUCUCUCUGUCCCUUCUUUCAUGUCCUCACACUCUCUCUGACUAGUCCUCCCUCAAGCUUCUCACAAGGAAUGGCUUCCCUUUUCUUCAUACUGCACACUACUGCAGGGUAAGUUAAUCUAGCUCUUUGCAGGGAGCUGUGGACAGAGCUUGGACACACAGGCUGGGGCGUCUACACGUGCAUGCAAGCUCUCAACACACAGGAAGGAACUGGAGGUGGGAAAAUAACUCUCAGGCUGGUCAUGAUCUCUCAAACCAGAAUUCCCUUCAUGCCAGCUGCCUAUGGAGCCUCUAGUCAGUCAUUGUGAUGGUCAUGAGUGACCUCACUGAGUGCUGACUGUGAGCCAGGCUGAGUGAUGCACUUUACGUGGAUUAUCACCCUCUGUGGAGUCCCACACUCCUGUGACUCAGGUGUUGUUACUUCCCUUCAAGGCAUCAAGAAGUUAAGGGACUACCCAAGGCCACUGUAGCUAGGGAAACGCCAUGUGAAGAUUAUGGAUUUCUGCUGCCACAAGCCAAGUAACUACCAGAAGCCAGGAGAGAGGGCUGGAGCAAGGGAGCCUGGCCCUGACGACACCUUGAUCUCAGACUUCGGGCCUCCAUAAUUGCACGAGCCACCAUGCCCGACCAGGACCGGUGUUCUUAUAAGAAGAGAGAGACAUCAGGAAUGGGUGUGUACAGAGAAAAGGACACAGCAAGAUGGUGGCCAUUUGCAAGCCAAGGAGAGAGACCUCAGGAGAAACCAACCCGCCAGCACCUUGAUCUUAGACUUCCAGUCUCCAAAAUUGGGAGAAAAUAAACGUUUGUUGUUUAAGACCCCAAUCUGAUAUUUUGUAAUGGCAGCCCUAGCAGACGAAUACACCCACUGUACCAUCUCUUUACCCCAGUAGACUAUGAAACCCUUGGGGACAGGCACCAUUUCUUCAUCCCUCUGUAUUUCAAUGCCUAGCAUAGUGUCUGGUACCUGGAAGAUGGCCAAAAAAUACUAUCUGAAGGAAUGGUCAAUGAGCAUGUGUGACUCUUACAUGACAAUAUAAUACUGGUCAAAUGCCAGAUCAGAACCUUGAGAUGGCUCCCAUGGAGUCAUUAACAUGCUCUAAUUCACUAAUUGAGGUAGCAAUUGAUCUGGGGCUGGAGUCAGGAAGGGAUAGGUUACAGUGAAGUGUCAAAUAGAACCUGUUCACUGAGUUCCCUUGGCCCAGUGCUUGAUGACAGGAUGUCA